This 423-nucleotide ribosomal RNA is filed under the name uncultured bacterium. Its description in RNAcentral is "bacterial SSU rRNA". It matches the Rfam family "Bacterial small subunit ribosomal RNA", at positions 358 to 773 of the family's 1533-position model. The record is from RNAcentral.
GGAAUUUUGGACAAUGGGCGCAAGCCUGAUCCAGCCAUGCCGCGUGCAGGAUGAAGGCCUUCGGGUUGUAGACUGCUUUUGUACGGAACGAAAAGGUUUGACUUAAUACGUUGGCCUCAUGACGCUACCGUAAGAAUAAGCACCGGCUAGCUACGUGCCAGCAGCCGCGGUAAUACGUAGGGUGCGAGCGUUAAUCGGAAUUACUGGGCGUAAAGCUUGCGCAGGCGGUUAUGUAAGACAGAUGUGAAAUCCCCGGGCUCAACCUGGGAACUGCAUUAGUGACUGCAUAGCUGGAGUACGGCAGAGGGGGAUGGAAUUCCGCGUGUAGCAGUGAAAUGCGUAGAUAUGCGGAGGAACACCGAUGGCGAAGGCAAUCCCCUGGGCCUGUACUGACGCUCAUGCACGAAAGCGUGGGGAGCAAAC